GUGUCAGCAGCCGCGGUAACACGUAGGCUCCAAGCGUUGUCCGGAUUUAUUGGGCGUAAAGAGCUCGUAGGCGGUUUAGUAAGUCGGGUGUGAAAACUCUGGGCUUAACCCAGAGACGCCACCCGAUACUGCUAUGACUUGAGUACGGUAGGGGAGCGGGGAAUUCCUGGUGUAGCGGUGAAAUGCGCAGAUAUCAGGAGGAACACCAGUGGCGAAGGCGCCGCUCUGGGCCGAAACUGACGCUGAGGAGCGAAAGCGUGGGUAGCAAACAGGAUUAGAUACCCUUGUAGUCC
This 293-nucleotide ribosomal RNA is filed under the name uncultured bacterium. RNAcentral describes it as "partial 16S ribosomal RNA". It matches the Rfam family "Bacterial small subunit ribosomal RNA", at positions 505 to 796 of the family's 1533-position model. The record is from RNAcentral.